GAUGAAGAACGCAGCGAAAUGCGAUAAGUAGUGUGAAUUGCAGAAUUCAGUGAAUCAUCGAAUCUUUGAACGCACAUUGCGCCCCUUGGUAUUCCAUGGGGCAUGCCUGUUCGAGCGUCAUUUGUACCUUCAAGCUCUGCUUGGUGUUGGGUGAUUGUCUAUCUUUGUAGACUCGCCUUAAAGUCAUUGGCAGCCGGCAUAUUGGCCUGGGAGCGCAGCACAAGUCGCGCUUCUUGUCAUGAAUGUUGGCGUCCAGUAAGUCUACAUCUUUUGCUCUUGCCCUCGGAUCAGGUAGGGAUACCCGCUGAACUUAAGCAUAUCAAUAAGCGGAGGA
RNAcentral lists this unclassified non-coding RNA (334 nucleotides) under soil metagenome. RNAcentral describes it as "partial contains 5.8S ribosomal RNA, internal transcribed spacer 2, and large subunit ribosomal RNA". The stretch from base 1 to 120 matches the Rfam family "5.8S ribosomal RNA", at positions 35 to 154 of the family's 154-position model. The record is from RNAcentral.